This 900-nucleotide ribosomal RNA is filed under the name uncultured bacterium. Its description in RNAcentral is "bacterial SSU rRNA". It matches the Rfam family "Bacterial small subunit ribosomal RNA", at positions 30 to 920 of the family's 1533-position model. The record is from RNAcentral.
UGAACGCUAGCUACAGGCUUAACACAUGUAAGUCGAGGGGCAGCGGUAUCGAAAGCUUGCUUUCGGUAGCCGGCGACCGGCGCACGGGUGAGUAACGCGUAUCGAACCUGCCUCAUACUCGGGAAUAGCCUUGCGAAAGUAAGAUUAAUGCCCGGUGUUUUCAGAGUCCCGCAUGAGGCUUUGAACAAAGAUUUAUCGGUAUGAGAUGGCGAUGCGUCCCAUUAGCUUGUUGGCGGGGUAACGGCCCACCAAGGCAUCGAUGGGUAGGGGUUCUGAGAGGAAGGUCCCCCACAUUGGAACUGAGACACGGUCCAAACUCCUACGGGAGGCAGCAGUGAGGAAUAUUGGUCAAUGGGCGGAAGCCUGAACCAGCCAAGUAGCGUGCAGGAAGACGGCCCUCCGGGUUGUAAACUGCUUUUAGUUGGGAAUAAAACGGGGCUCGUGAGCCCCCUUGCAUGUACCAUCAGAAAAAGGACCGGCUAAUUCCGUGCCAGCAGCCGCGGUAAUACGGAAGGUCCGGGCGUUAUCCGGAUUUAUUGGGUUUAAAGGGAGCGCAGGCGGACCUUUAAGUCAGCUGUGAAAUACGGCGGCUCAACCGUCGAACUGCAGUUGAUACUGGAGGUCUUGAGUGCACACAGGGAUGCUGGAAUUCAUGGUGUAGCGGUGAAAUGCUCAGAUAUCAUGAAGAACUCCGAUCGCGAAGGCAGGCAUCCGGGGUGCAACUGACGCUGAGGCUCGAAAGUGCGGGUAUCAAACAGGAUUAGAUACCCUGGUAGUCCGCACAGUAAACGAUGAAUACUCGCGGUUUGCGAUACAGUGUAAGCCGCCAAGCGAAAGCGUUAAGUAUUCCACCUGGGGAGUACGCCGGCAACGGUGAAACUCAAAGGAAUUGACGGAAGG